This 214-nucleotide long non-coding RNA is filed under the name Lathyrus oleraceus (garden pea). RNAcentral's name for it is "Pisum sativum (pea) long non-coding RNA (PSAT_LNC017092)". Lineage: Eukaryota; Viridiplantae; Streptophyta; Magnoliopsida; Fabales; Fabaceae. The record is from RNAcentral.
CAUAACCGACCAGCGGUUUACUGAGUUGUUCAGCAGAUUUGACAACUUAGACAUACGUCAACGAUCACCUGGCCCAAGAACACGAGGCGGAAGGCAUAAUUAGUUGUAGUUUCUUUUUCCUUUCCCUACUGUAUUUCCUUCCCUUCAAACAUUGAGGACUAUGUUUAAUUUAAGUAUGGGGGGAAAACCAUGUUCUUUCUAUUUCCAUUUUUUU